AUGAUAAAAAAGUUUAUGGAAGUUGUAGAUAAUCUCAAGAUGAAUUAUAUAUUUGUUAUGCUCUUCUUCCAUGUCUUCAUAACAUAAACAAAAUUGGAAGGUAAGUGUCUCAAUACUAAAAUCUGAUUAUUAUUGUAAUCCUUAUAACAUCUAAAUAAAAAAAGGCUUGUGACGCGUAUUUUGUAGUGUCCUAUGCUGUCGAAUUCAUGGGAGAUUUUCGUUAUUAUUUUGCUUUGCCUUUAUGCCUCUGUGUUUCUUUGUUAUAUAUUUGUUUGUUUGUAUAGUGCUUAAGAUUAUAAAACAAUGUUGACUGUUGUACCCCUAUUUUGUCAUUUUUACAUGUUAUGUCUGUUUAUAUAUAGUACACACAUCGUUGUCAAUUUCAUGGAAUGUUAUGCGACUGUCAUACAAGUCAAGUAAGAGGUUGAGCGAGAUAUCAAACCAGGUUUUAUCCACAAUCAGCUAAAAUGUCGACAGAUUUCAUGGAUUACUCUUUUUAAAAUUCACCUUUGGAUCCAAAAAUAAUACUCUCAUAUUAUUAGUUUAAUGCAUAAUGCCAGGUAGGUGACACGGCUCCUUAUAGUCUCUAUAUCAUAUGCAUUCAAACACCAAUAACAUAUUUACUUGCUUCAAACACAACUUAUUAGAUGUCAAAUCAGCUUGAUUCGAUAGCAAAAUAAUUGCAUAAACUUUGAUCAGUGUUGGCAUCACAGCUUAUUACUACAUUUAACAGCACUUUAACAUGUUUAAGAGUUUUAAUCCCAUACUGUACAUUUCGCCGUCAGUUCCAGCUUCUUAUUGAUUGUUGAUGAUUAUAUUCACUUAUACAUUGAUCUAAUAAAAAAUCAGAAGUUGUGAUGAGAUUUGAAAAAAAAGUAAUUUUGAUUUGUGAAAUGAAAAAUGCAGACCUUUUUGUACAAUUGAUUUUGCAUAUCGAUAAUUACCAAAACAGACCAAAGGACCUUUAUCAAUGUAUUGAUCAUAUGAUAUAAUAUAUACUUCAGAUGCUUAAAAAAAUGCCUUUUAUAUAAAAUGUAGAUCCGUGCUUUACAAAGAACCUAAUCGACGACUGGCGACGAUCAGUAGCCCAUGGAAUUACAAGGAAUUGCUAUGUGAUACCAGUCUAUAAGAACAAUGGUACAUGGUUAUAUCCGGUGCUGGAGAAUUAAUGUCAACCAUUUGUCCGUUGGGUGGAUUUCGUUGUGGAACGGCAAAUCCCUAUUGGCUAUUAUCAUGUACGUGAGAUAGCUAUAUAUAGACUUUAGCAUGUUUUUUUUCUGAACAUUAUUCAUAAGGUUUUUAGUUUUGUCGACAUAAAGAUUAUGACAAUGCAUACUAAUAUUUAUGAUCAAUUUAGUCUAAUGAAAUCGUAGUAUUAUAUUAAAAAGAAGUCAGUCGUUUGACAAAUAUUGUUGUGUGCAUUACUGAUUGAAGGAGAUUGCUUGAUAAUAGUUAUCAAAGGUACUGGGAUUAUAAUGUAUUACGCCAGACGCGAGUUUCGUCUACUCAUCAGUAACGCUAAGAUCAAAAUAAGAAUAAAGCCAAGCAAGUACAAAGUUAAAGAGCAUUGAGGGCCCAAAAUUAAAAAAAGUUGUGCCAAAUACGGCUAACAUCAUCUAUUCCUUAGUUUUUCGAAAAUUUCAAAGUUUUGUAACAGGAAAUUUAUAACAAUGACAAUGUAAUUGAUAUUUAUGUCAACACCGAAGUGCUGAUACCCUCGGGGAUGAACCUCACCAUAGCUCAAACAGUCAAAGGACAUCUAGUGGAAAACAAAAGUUAUUUAUCAUUGGUCAAGAUUUAAAUGUUUCAAGUCAUGAAAAAGUCGUAAAUAAAUUGAUAACCUAAUUGAAUAAAUAAAUGACCACAAACAUAUUACCUUUAUGUUGCAUUUGAAUGGUAAUAAAAACUUUAUUCUAUUCAUGUCAAUAAGUUUGUAUAAUAACUAAACAAUUUGUAUACAUACAUGUAUUUGUUUUUUUUUCUUUUAGCUGAUGUUAUAGGAUCUUUGUAUCCAGACACAGGCAAUAUUGUAAAUAGAACAGCUUGUUAGGCGCGCUAUACUGGCCAUUGUUGUGAAGACUCAAUCGAUAUAAGAAUUAAUGAUUGUGGAUGUUAUUAUGUUUAUUAUUUGAAACCAAUGCCGAGUUGUUCUUCGGCAUAUUGUUUUGGUUAGUUCUAAGAUAUAACAUAGUAACGAUUUUACGUUGGUCAUUCAAAUAGUAUUCUGUAUUUGCUAAUUUAUUAAUUGUUAGUGUGACAUCAACUUCCUUGUUUAAUUGUUAUGUUCAUACUAAGCAUAUGCCAUGAUUAUGUCCACCCGUUAAUAUGGAAACCGUACAUUUUGUUUUGUUUUCUGAUAUCGUCAAAUAUUAGUAUAACUUAUAUGUGAAUUCUUUUAAAUCCGAUACAAAGAGAAACAAAGAACAACUCAUGUGUUUGAACCAUAUCAGCAAAAUAGUAUACUCUUACUUCUUUGUAACCCAAUAAUAUAUGUUCUCGUGAGAGAAAAAAAAACGAUUUCCAGAAAGUUUUAUCAAUUUGAAAUGGGAUUAUACUCUUUAAAUACAGAUUAUUCAUUUAGUUAUUUACUUACUUCAAUAGCUAUGUCUAACACAAAAACUGUUAAACGUAUCACUUAACUGGACCAUACGCGUAUGAUCCAAAUACUCAAAUGGUCCGGAACAUAGACAUCAUCAAUGAUCAUAGAAUAAUGUUUUCGUCUUUAACCGUAAGGUAAACAUAAACAGUUGAAAUGAUACAUAAUUUCAAAAUGAAAAACAAGUAAAAACAGUGUAAGUAAACAAGCUAGCAACUCAUCGAAAUUUUCAAAAGGAAACCAAUGACCUGUCUUAAAAAGAACAAUAUCUCUUUAGAAAAAAAAAAAAAACCCUAAGAAGCAUUCAAUCCUCUAUUAGAAUAGACAAGCCUUAAACUAUAGGUAAACAUUACUGAUGUUUACCGUUUCAAACUAUUAAAAUAUAAGAAGCUGCACUUUGUUAUACGAAUUAUGCAAAGUUAACAGAAUAAAAAAACUAGACAGGAUAGUUUCUUCUCAUUUCCAAUUUAACUCUAUCAUUUAAGAUUAAGAUGAUCCUUAAUUAUAAAAAGAUUUUUUUUUAAAUUAAAAUGUAUAAGACAAAACAUUUAUUUGUUUUUCAGAUGUUAAGACGUUGGUUUUUCUCAAGAAAACAUUUGAAGUAGGAGGCGAAUCUAUUUAUUAC
RNAcentral lists this long non-coding RNA (3221 nucleotides) under Mytilus galloprovincialis (Mediterranean mussel). The record is from RNAcentral. Lineage: Eukaryota; Metazoa; Mollusca; Bivalvia; Mytilida; Mytilidae.